GAUGAACGCUGGCGGCGUGCCUAAUACAUGCAAGUCGAACGAGGUGCUUUUGUAGCAAUACGAAAGUAUCCUAGUGGCGAACGGGUGAGUAACGCGUUGGUGACCUACCCCAAAGUGUGGGAUAACAGUUCGAAAGAACUGCUAAUACCGCAUGUGGUUAUCGGGUUUAGAAACUGAUAACUAAAGGAGCAAUUCGCUUUGGGAGGGACCUGCGUCCCAUCAGCUAGUUGGUGAGGUAAUGGCUCACCAAGGCUACGACGGGUAGGGGACCUGAGAGGGUGACCCCCCCACAAUGGAACUGAAACACGGUCCAUACACCUACGGGUGGCAGCAGUAGGGAAUAUUGCACAAUGGGCGAAAGACCUGAUGCAGCAACGCCGCGUGUGCGAUGAAGGCCUC
This 399-nucleotide ribosomal RNA is filed under the name uncultured bacterium. RNAcentral's name for it is "bacterial SSU rRNA". It matches the Rfam family "Bacterial small subunit ribosomal RNA", at positions 28 to 418 of the family's 1533-position model. The record is from RNAcentral.